UUUUUACUUCAUAUUCGUUUUUCGACUUUAGUGAAUUGCUAAGAUAAUUUAGUGGCUAUUGCUGUUUUUGUUUAUUUAUGAAUAAAAUGGUGAGAUUUUUUACAGCUAAUAUCUUUGUUGGUUUGUGUUCAUCAAAUCUGCAACAGUGCUGUUAAAGGCUCUCUUAAAGCGUGCUUAAGCCUGAAGCUCAGGUUGUGUGCUUUGACUCUCUUAAUUGUUGCUUUGGUGUAGGCGUCAAGGGUUUCUGUCUUGAAGGGAACAUCAUCAUGUAUAUAGCCGAGUUAUAGUAGUUCCACUCUAUUUUUUUGUUUUUCAUCAUUGGCACUAUUUUUCGGCGAAGCCCACACAUUAAUUGCGCUAUGCGCUUAAAGCACCAACAGCCUUUGGUGCUUUUCGUUUUUGGCUACUUGGAUUCGCAAGGAUCACUUAUUAUGUUUUUUUUGAUCACUCUAUCUUGAACAACUUUUUUUUAGUGAAGCAUCAUAUAAUUUUUCUUUUAGAGGGUGUUCACAUUGCUUUACAUAUCGUUAAGAUUCUUGACAUGCGACUUUGGCUAUAGAAUGGGUUGGCUUGACUUUUUUGUUGUUGUUGCGAUGAGUAAAUGGCUUAUCUUUCAGCUUAAUUUUUCCUCUAUUAUUUGUUUUUAGUUUAGUAAUUCUUCCAAAUGUUGAGUACUGGUGGUGUUUGUUUGUGGAAUUCGAACUUCACAUGUCAAUAAUUUUUAAAGUUGGUGUUUGUUUGACUUUUUCUUAGCAAAAGUUGCAAAACAACUGUUCGAACUUUAAGUCUUUGAAAUUGUGGUUUGGAAGUUGUUCCGAGUGAAGCUUUUGCAAAUUCUCAACUUCCAUUCACCCAAAAAGAAAAGAAAACCUUCCAUUCACAGGUCUUCAACUCCCACUAUCAUUUUUUUUUUAAAAACUACGAGCCCGCUUAGCCAUCGAUAUUUCAGUAACUAUAAAUAUUGAACUUCAAUAUUUGCCAACAAUUGGAACACAAUUUCAGCUUCAGCAAACUUUUCCCAGCUUCUACUGUAAUGGUUGUCCAAACAGAGAUCACAAUCUUUUAUAUGUUGCAGCUUUUACUCUUAUUUCUUGCAUUAACAGCUUAUUUUCCCGAUUUUUUUUUAGUUAUUUUUUGGUCGGUAUGAUUAAAAUCAGUAAUCAAAAAUGUUUUACAAAAAUGGCAGAUAGAUGUAUCAAGUAGAUAUUGAUCAUGGGCAAGAGAAGCAAUCGCGUCCCCCUGCUGCAGAUGGGGGCGAGGAAUCAAUCCAUGCUGUUGGACAAGAGGGGAUGGGUCAACAAAUCCAUCUUGAGAGGAGAAAAGGGAAAUUGACUUCCAAG
Molecule: long non-coding RNA, 1340 nt
Filed under: Nicotiana tabacum (common tobacco)
Lineage: Eukaryota; Viridiplantae; Streptophyta; Magnoliopsida; Solanales; Solanaceae
Description: long non-coding RNA (NTAB_LNC004754)
Source: RNAcentral